CAAGCAUCUGUUCAUUUACAUGAAGUUUUAGAUUUUAAGAGUGGCUCCCAUUUAUUUUGCCCUGCAUAGAAUGCACAGUUAUUUAACUACACUUUUCCUGGUGCCAAUGUUGAGAAGAAGUGAAGCUGGAGUGAGUAUGUUAAAUGAGACUAUCAAGGAGUUGCAGGGCCACAUUCAAUGAGUCUGCAGACAGAAACUGUACUAUCUGAGAAAUACUCUUUGUCCUACAAAGGAAAAAGUGCCAGGAAUAUCCUGAUUGCAGGAAUGAUAUGUGUAAUGUAAUGCGUAGAAACUCUCAUCACUUGAAGAGUCCAUUAUGGAAUUAUAUCUUUAUAUCUCU
Molecule: long non-coding RNA, 340 nt
Organism: Centrocercus urophasianus (Greater sage-grouse)
Lineage: Eukaryota; Metazoa; Chordata; Aves; Galliformes; Phasianidae
Exons: 3
Source: RefSeq, a predicted model, not a curated record